AUACGGAGGAUACGAGCGUUAUCCGGAUUUACUGGGUUUAAAGGGUGCGCAGGCGGGAGAUUAAGGCGGUGGUGAAAUUUGGCACGUCUACGGUAGAAGUGCCUUCGACACCGGCUUCCUUGAGUGUGUGAGUAGAAGGCGGACGUCUGGGGAUAUCCGCGAAAUGCAUAGAUAUCUCGAGGAAGACCGAUUGCGCAGGCAGCUUACUAAACUACUACUGACGCUCAGGCACGAAGGCGUGGGGAUCAAACAGGAUUAGAUUCCCUGGUAGUCCACGCAGUAAACGAUGAUUACUAGCUGUUUGCGAUACAAUGUAAGCGGCUGAGCGAAAGCGUUAAGUAAUCCACCUGGGGAGUGCGUUCGCAAGAAUGAAACUCAAAUGAAUUGACGGGG
This 393-nucleotide ribosomal RNA is filed under the name uncultured bacterium. RNAcentral's name for it is "partial 16S ribosomal RNA". It matches the Rfam family "Bacterial small subunit ribosomal RNA", at positions 523 to 918 of the family's 1533-position model. The record is from RNAcentral.